CGUUUAGUGUUCUUCGUUCUUGUUGAUCGAGCGAGGAAGAGUGUUUAGAGAGAGAACUACAGUUAUGCAAGCUGAUGAUUCCAAUGGGUUUUCUUGUCUGAAAGAUUGGAUCAUAUUCCUGACUGUGAGGUCAACAGUUGCAGUGAUUGUCUCUGAGAGGAGAAUCGAUGGUGGUGGAGUCUGUGAUUUCUUUCACGCCACAGUUCAUAAAUCGUGGCCUGCCAUGCUGCUAUGCUAGGAUACUAAGAUACCAGCGAUGCCUAUCUCCUGUGAGAGAAAUCAAGAUGAGUGUCAGAGCAAUCAAGAGUGCUGUUGAGACGAAGCUUUAAAGCUAGUGGUCCCCAAAUCAGAGAAGAGAAAGGGCAUCCGAAGAAGAUAUGAUCACACGACUCAUGGAAUGAGUUACAGAGAAGACACAUCGGAUCCGUUUCAAUAUCCCAGGCACGUGAGGACCAGAUGCAUUACAUCCGGUUCGUUGGAGAGAACCAGAGCAGUCAAGUGGAUAUGGAGAGCUUCCAUUUACAAUGAUCUGGCUGGUGAUAACCUCCAAGAAUGGCCAUUCCAUAGAGAGGCUAGAGUGGCCGAGAGCGGAAUACCUAAUUGUCUCGGACCUUGGGGUCAUAUGAAGCUGGUCAGAGUGCCAAAAGGGGACCACGGGGUUGUCCAAAACCGACAGGAACUUCCAUUAUCAGGCUGUCCAUAUUGACUCUGGUUUGAAGAAAAGCGUCCAAAGGAGCUGGAGGAGACAUGUUCUGUUCCAGACUCAAAUAUUUUUGAGGCCUAACCCACCUUCUGAUUUAGGACUAGUAACAGAGUCUCAGGCUACUCUAGCGUUGUAUCUACCAUCCAGUGAUCCCUUCCAAAGGAGAGGCUCACAAUUGAGUAGGAAAAGUUUCUUUGUGUUUAGAGGGAGACCCAAAUAUCUUAUGGGGAGGAAACCUUGAGCAAUACGUGAGGAGGUGAUAAGGACAGAAGUUUCAUCAAUAUUUAGACCAGCUGAGAAGAAACAAGAUUUUCCACGCUUAUUGCAAGGCCUGUGAUCGCUUGGAACUCUGAGAGAACCGUCAAGACCCCUUGAAUUGAUGGCAAUGAUUCGUUAGUGAAGAUAAGGAUAUCAUCCGCAAAGCACAAAUGUAAUGUUCAUUGCCAGACCAAAGAUAUAUGGACUGAGCGGAUCACCCUGACGGAUGCCACGAGUACCUCGAAAGAAACCAUGGAGGGAUCCAUUAAUGCCCACUGAGUAUGCGGUGGAGGUGAGACACUCCUUUAUUUGUGCAACGAAAGAGUGAGGCAUGUUCAAAGAGUUCAAGCAAGCUAUUAUGAAAUCCCACUUUAUGGAAUCAAAUGCCUUUGCAAUAUCCACCUUCAAGAUAAGUCUCUUUGGCCCUAUGUUUUUGUGGUCUCCACUGAUUAUUUCGGAUGCUAGCAGGCAAUUCUCCAUAAGUAAUCUGCCCUUGAUGAAAGCUGACUGGUUAGGUAAAAUGAUUGCUGGGAUAAUCGGUUUUAGACGACUCACUAGCAUUUUGGCUAUCCCUUUAUAUAGUGUAUUGCAACAUGAUAUUGGCCUAUAAUCCUUGAUUAUAGUUGCUCCUGGGAAUUUAGGAAUGAGGGUGAGAAUAGCCGAGUUUGUAGCUGUUGGCAUAGAGGUUUCUUUAAAAAAAUUCAGAAUUGCCGUAGUAACCUCAUUCCCAAUUACUGUCCAUGAACAGCUGUAGAAUCUUGAAGUAAAUCCAUCCGGUCAUGGGCUUUUAUUAGGAUUUAGCUUGAAUAGCGUUCUCAUAAUUUCAUCUGUUGUUGGCAGGACAUAAAGAGAUGAUCUUUCACGGUCAGAACAGCUGAAUGGAGAUAAAGCUUGGACAGAUUCUAGAAGACCAGGCACAAUCGGGGAGAGCGGAGGAUCAAGAAUAAGCCUGAAGUGAUGCACUGCUAAGAGACCUACAGCUUUAGGGGAAGUUAUAGUGAUGCCGUUGAGGUCAGUGAGAGCAUUGAUUGCAUUGUAAAAACUCCUAGUGACUGAGACUUUGAAGAAGUAGCUUGUGUUUUGAUUGCCCAGAUUAAGCCACUGGAUUCGAGAUUUCUGAUGGAAAUACACAUCCUCAACCUUUUCAGCAUAUUCAGUUUCUCUUUACACAAUUUUUCUUCAAAAGAAGUCGCUUCAGUGGGGUUUGAGAAGGAGAUAACCUGAACGACCUUCAGAUGUUUCAUAGUUUCACCAACUCGUUUUUGUAUCCAUGAGAAAUUAUUUUUGUUGAGACUUCUCAAGGUUUUUUUUAGCACUUUCUGCAUUUUGCUGAGGCGAGAUAAAGACCAGCCAGCUUGGUCAGAAGAUUCCCAUCCAGAGAUGACCGAGUGCAGUAAGCCUGGAUGAUUCGUUAGAUAGUUGAAGAACUUAAACGGCUUCGAGCCAGCAAUAGGCAAGGCACAGUUUAAGUUCACAAGCCCUGGAGAAUGAUCAAAGAAGUCUGUUGCAAGAAAGUGAGCUAGACUUGCCAGAAAAGAAAGAAUCCAAGAUUCAUUUGAGAGGAUUUUGUCCAGCUUCUUAGCAGUGGGGGACAAAGGCCGCUUGUUAGACCAUGUAAAGAUGGGACCAUGGUAUCGAAGAUCCCGGAUUUAAAGAUCAUCCAAGCAUUGUGUAAAUUCGAUCACGGGAGGAGAAAUGCCAUCGAAGGCUGGAGACGAAUGCUCAGCGUGGUGGAUGAUUUAAUUAAAGUCACCCCCAAAAAUCCAAGGCAAGGCAAGGAGUGAAGCGAGUGCCCAUUUAGCAUGUGCCCAUUUAGCAUGAGGGCAUCUUGCUUCUAAAUGACGGAGUUGCUUGCAGCAAGUGCAAGAAGGAGGAACCCAAGGAUAAGUUACCGAUAUUGGUAUAAUUGAGCCAUCAUCCCAGAGCAGCUCAACCAGUGGAGGGAGAGGCU
Brassica oleracea var. oleracea is the source of this 2912-nucleotide long non-coding RNA. RefSeq lists it as uncharacterized. NCBI's taxonomy places the organism in Eukaryota, Viridiplantae, Streptophyta, Magnoliopsida, Brassicales, Brassicaceae. The transcript is spliced from 5 exons. The record is from RefSeq and is a predicted model, not a curated record.